GAUGAACGCUGGCGGCGUGCUUAACACAUGCAAGUCGAACGAUGAAGCCCAGCUUGCUGGGUGGAUUAGUGGCGAACGGGUGAGUAACACGUGAGUAACCUGCCCUUAACUCUGGGAUAAGCCUGGGAAACUGGGUCUAAUACCGGAUAGGAGCGUCCACCGCAUGGUGGGUGUUGGAAAGAUUUAUCGGUUUUGGAUGGACUCGCGGCCUAUCAGCUUGUUGGUGAGGUAAUGGCUCACCAAGGCGACGACGGGUAGCCGGCCUGAGAGUGUGACCGGCCACACUGGGACUGAGACACGGCCCAGACUCCUACGGGAGGCAGCAGUGGGGAAUAUUGCACAAUGGGCGCAAGCCUGAUGCAGCGACGCCGCGUGAGGGAUGACGGCCUUCGGGUUGUAAACCUCUUUCAGUAGGGAAGAAGCGAAAGUGACGGUACCUGCAGAAGAAGCACCGGCUAACUACGUG
This 466-nucleotide ribosomal RNA is filed under the name uncultured bacterium. Its description in RNAcentral is "partial 16S ribosomal RNA". It matches the Rfam family "Bacterial small subunit ribosomal RNA", at positions 28 to 507 of the family's 1533-position model. The record is from RNAcentral.